Long non-coding RNA from Lagopus leucura (white-tailed ptarmigan), 901 nucleotides. RefSeq lists it as uncharacterized. NCBI's taxonomy places the organism in Eukaryota, Metazoa, Chordata, Aves, Galliformes, Phasianidae. The transcript is spliced from 4 exons. The record is from RefSeq and is a predicted model, not a curated record.
GAACUCCUUUCAAGAAGAGACCCAUUGUAAGGGUCAUAGCUGAAUACUUUGAUAUCCACCUUCUUCAGAGAAUGCAGCCAGAUAGAUAGAUGUGACCUAUUAUAACAUCUCUAUUUCUGAGACAGCUUUUGACUCGAGCCUGCAUCAGAAUAUUUGCUGAUUGAAGAGCCUCCUUGUGUGAUUUAUGGCCAACCAAGCAUGAACAGUAAUACAUCAGAUCAACUCAGUGCACUGAGAACAAUGGUAUGGUCUAAGCACAGUGUUACAAGAACAUGGAGAAAUAAAUAUUUUGUUCUGUUACUGAGAAGGAAUUGUCUUCCAGUGUCAGUAUGAGUGUGAAUGGAGACUGAUAAGAAAGCAGAGAGAGAGGUAAAAUACAGCUGCAGAACAAAAACAGAUAAAUAACGAUAUGCCUGUACAUGCAGUCAUAUAGUCCUCCUCUUAAAGCCAGAUUCCUACUUCUGCUGUCAUUCCUGUAUCUGUGUUACCAAAAACUAUGCUUGCAUGGCUGCUUGCACUAAGCUUGACUGUACAAGCUGCUCAAAUUAGAAGAUGGAGAUGAAACUGAAGACAGCCCACUGAUUGCUACUGGAGAAAUCAAUGCCCUGCAUAUGGCAAAAGCAGGAGAAAAGCAGUCUUGAGCUCGAUAGAACAGAAGCAAAACCUCUCCGAAGAGUUCAGAGAAAAAAAAGCCCAGAUGCUGAACUGUAAUUCUAUCUCCUGUGGAGUCCUGCCUAUUGCUGCUGCUUCCAGCAAAAGCAGUGAUAUGCUGACACCUUGCAGAAGCUCCAGAACAACCUGGCUGUCUCUCUAGGGUGCUGACAGAAAAGAGCACAGAAGUCUUAUCUGCCAUGAGGCAUCUCAAAGUAUCUGACAGCUGCAUUCAAAGCUGUGUUUGGGC